RNAcentral lists this ribosomal RNA (228 nucleotides) under uncultured bacterium. Its description in RNAcentral is "partial 16S ribosomal RNA". It matches the Rfam family "Bacterial small subunit ribosomal RNA", at positions 103 to 334 of the family's 1533-position model. The record is from RNAcentral.
CGGGUGAGUAAUACAUCGGAACGUGUCUUCUAGUGGGGGAUAACUGCCCGAAAGGGCAGCUAAUACCGCAUGAGACCUGAGGGUGAAAGCGGGGGAUCGCAAGACCUCGCGCUGGAAGAGCGGCCGAUGUCCGAUUAGCUAGUUGGUGGGGUAAAGGCUCACCAAGGCGACGAUCGGUAGCUGGUCUGAGAGGACGACCAGCCACACUGGGACUGAGACACGGCCCAG